GCCUGGCUGGCUCAGUCGGUGAAGUGAGUGACUCUUGAUCUCGGGGUUGUGGGUUCGAGCCCCAUGUUGGGUG
Molecule: transfer RNA, 73 nt
Filed under: Canis lupus familiaris (dog)
Lineage: Eukaryota; Metazoa; Chordata; Mammalia; Carnivora; Canidae
Also listed under: 1 other name
Rfam family: tRNA
About the family: Transfer RNA (tRNA) molecules are approximately 80 nucleotides in length. Their secondary structure includes four short double-helical elements and three loops (D, anti-codon, and T loops).
Source: Rfam by way of RNAcentral